UGUGAGCUCGAUGAGUAGGGCGGGACACGUGGUAUCCUGUCUGAAUAUGGGGGGACCAUCCUCCAAGGCUAAAUACUCCUGACUGACCGAUAGUGAACCAGUACCGUGAGGGAAAGGCGAAAAGAACCCCGGCGAGGGGAGUGAAAAAGAACCUGAAACCGUGUACGUACAAGCAGUGGGAGCACGCUUAGGCGUGUGACUGCGUACCUUUUGUAUAAUGGGUCAGCGACUUAUAUUCUGUAGCAAGGUUAACCGAAUAGGGGAGCCGAAGGGAAACCGAGUCUUAACUGGGCGUUAAGUUGCAGGGUAUAGACCCGAAACCCGGUGAUCUAGCCAUGGGCAGGUUGAAGGUUGGGUAACACUAACUGGAGGACCGAACCGACUAAUGUUGAAAAAUUAGCGGAUGACUUGUGGCUGGGGGUGAAAGGCCAAUCAAACCGGGAGAUAGCUGGUUCUCCCCGAAAGCUAUUUAGGUAGCGCCUCGUGAAUUCAUCUCCGGGGGUAGAGCACUGUUUCGGCAAGGGGGUCAUCCCGACUUACCAACCCGAUGCAAACUGCGAAUACCGGAGAAUGUUAUCACGGGAGACACACGGCGGGUGCUAACGUCCGUCGUGAAGAGGGAAACAACCCAGACCGCCAGCUAAGGUCCCAAAGUCAUGGUUAAGUGGGAAACGAUGUGGGAAGGCCCAGACAGCCAGGAUGUUGGCUUAGAAGCAGCCAUCAUUUAAAGAAAGCGUAAUAGCUCACUGGUCGAGUCGGCCUGCGCGGAAGAUGUAACGGGGCUAAACCAUGCACCGAAGCUGCGGCAGCGACACUAUGUGUUGUUGGGUAGGGGAGCGUUCUGUAAGCCUGCGAAGGUGUGCUGUGAGGCAUGCUGGAGGUAUCAGAAGUGCGAAUGCUGACAUAAGUAACGAUAAAGCGGGUGAAAAGCCCGCUCGCCGGAAGACCAAGGGUUCCUGUCCAACGUUAAUCGGGGCAGGGUGAGUCGACCCCUAAGGCGAGGCCGAAAGGCGUAGUCGAUGGGAAACAGGUUAAUAUUCCUGUACUUGGUGUUACUGCGAAGGGGGGACGGAGAAGGCUAUGUUGGCCGGGCGACGGUUGUCCCGGUUUAAGCGUGUAGGCUGGUUUUCCAGGCAAAUCCGGAAAAUCAAGGCUGAGGCGUGAUGACGAGGCACUACGGUGCUGAAGCAACAAAUGCCCUGCUUCCAGGAAAAGCCUCUAAGCAUCAGGUAACAUCAAAUCGUACCCCAAACCGACACAGGUGGUCAGGUAGAGAAUACCAAGGCGCUUGAGAGAACUCGGGUGAAGGAACUAGGCAAAAUGGUGCCGUAACUUCGGGAGAAGGCACGCUGAUAUGUAGGUGAAGCGACUUGCUCGUGGAGCUGAAAUCAGUCGAAGAUACCAGCUGGCUGCAACUGUUUAUUAAAAACACAGCACUGUGCAAACACGAAAGUGGACGUAUACGGUGUGACGCCUGCCCGGUGCCGGAAGGUUAAUUGAUGGGGUCAGCGCAAGCGAAGCUCUUGAUCGAAGCCCCGGUAAACGGCGGCCGUAACUAUAACGGUCCUAAGGUAGCGAAAUUCCUUGUCGGGUAAGUUCCGACCUGCACGAAUGGCGUAAUGAUGGCCAGGCUGUCUCCACCCGAGACUCAGUGAAAUUGAACUCGCUGUGAAGAUGCAGUGUACCCGCGGCAAGACGGAAAGACCCCGUGAACCUUUACUAUAGCUUGACACUGAACAUUGAGCCUUGAUGUGUAGGAUAGGUGGGAGGCUUUGAAGUGUGGACGCCAGUCUGCAUGGAGCCGACCUUGAAAUACCACCCUUUAAUGUUUGAUGUUCUAACGUUGACCCGUAAUCCGGGUUGCGGACAGUGUCUGGUGGGUAGUUUGACUGGGGCGGUCUCCUCCUAAAGAGUAACGGAGGAGCACGAAGGUUGGCUAAUCCUGGUCGGACAUCAGGAGGUUAGUGCAAUGGCAUAAGCCAGCUUGACUGCGAGCGUGACGGCGCGAGCAGGUGCGAAAGCAGGUCAUAGUGAUCCGGUGGUUCUGAAUGGAAGGGCCAUCGCUCAACGGAUAAAAGGUACUCCGGGGAUAACAGGCUGAUACCGCCCAAGAGUUCAUAUCGACGGCGGUGUUUGGCACCUCGAUGUCGGCUCAUCACAUCCUGGGGCUGAAGUAGGUCCCAAGGGUAUGGCUGUUCGCCAUUUAAAGUGGUACGCGAGCUGGGUUUAGAACGUCGUGAGACAGUUCGGUCCCUAUCUGCCGUGGGCGCUGGAGAACUGAGGGGGGCUGCUCCUAGUACGAGAGGACCGGAGUGGACGCAUCACUGGUGUUCGGGUUGUCAUGCCAAUGGCACUGCCCGGUAGCUAAAUGCGGAAGAGAUAAGUGCUGAAAGCAUCUAAGCACGAAACUUGCCCCGAGAUGAGUUCUCCCUGACUCCUUGA
This 2442-nucleotide ribosomal RNA is filed under the name Escherichia coli. Its description in RNAcentral is "bacterial LSU rRNA". It matches the Rfam family "Bacterial large subunit ribosomal RNA", at positions 398 to 2826 of the family's 2925-position model. Lineage: Bacteria; Pseudomonadati; Pseudomonadota; Gammaproteobacteria; Enterobacterales; Enterobacteriaceae. The record is from RNAcentral.